This 497-nucleotide ribosomal RNA is filed under the name uncultured bacterium. RNAcentral describes it as "partial 16S ribosomal RNA". It matches the Rfam family "Bacterial small subunit ribosomal RNA", at positions 28 to 507 of the family's 1533-position model. The record is from RNAcentral.
GACGAACGCUGGCGGCGUGCCUAAUACAUGCAAGUUGAGCGCUGAAGGUUGGUACUUGUACCAACUGGAUGAGCAGCGAACGGGUGAGUAACGCGUGGGGAAUCUGCCUUUGAGCGGGGGACAACAUUUGGAAACGAAUGCUAAUACCGCAUAAAAACUUUAAACACAAGUUUUAAGUUUGAAAGAUGCAAUUGCAUCACUCAAAGAUGAUCCCGCGUUGUAUUAGCUAGUUGGUGAGGUAAAGGCCCACCAAGGCGAUGAUACAUAGCCGACCUGAGAGGGUGAUCGGCCACAUUGGGAGGGAGACAAGGCCCAAACUCCUACGGGAGGCAGCAGUAGGGAAUCUUCGGCAAUGGGCGAAAGUCUGACCGAGCAACGCCGCGUGAGUGAAGAAGGUUUUCGGAUCGUAAAACUCUGUUGGUAGAGAAGAACGUUGGUGAGAGUGGAAAGCUCAUCAAGUGACGGUAACUAGCCAGAAAGGGACGGCUAACUACGUG